GUUACUGUUUUUUUUUAAAAAAAAUAUAUAUAUAUGUGUAUUUUUAAACUUAGGUCAGGGAGCUUAAGUGAAAAUAAUUGUAGAGAGUUUUUGUGACUACUGAAAAAUCUUUCCUCUCAGUGCCUUCCUCUGUUCUCAUUCCAAAAUAGAUGACUGUUUUAAUCAAAUGACUUGGGGACUGUGAGUGAGAAGCUGUCUGCAAUCAGUCUCAUGUUAUGGUCUUUGCAAAUCUCUGUACCAACCAAAGUGGUAUUUACAGUUUAACAAUUUCCAACAUAGUUGUGUUUGGUUGCUAAUGGCGAAGAGACUCAUACUUAUAAAGCAAAUUCAGAGAUGAUUAUUAUAUUAUUAUAGUUUAUAAAAUAAUUCUUUCAAAAUAGUUAAACUAUUUUUGGAAUGAAGACAUGAUUGUUAAUAGUAGGAUCAUAUGUAUAGUGGUUGAUAUUUGGAAGGCAAAAGUGGCCUAGAACUUGCGUGCUAUGCCCAUGACCUUGUCAAGUUAGUGGUUGCUCUUUUUAAAAAAGAAAAACAGUUUACAAGUAUACUGUUGAACUUUAGGGGGAAAAUAGUGUUUACUUGUGAGCUUAUGGAAUCAGGAAAUCUGGUUUAAAACUCUUAGGAGAAUGUUUUCUGAUAAAUUCAAUUGGCUUCCAGGAAGUCAGUGAAAAAUGUAUUAUUAUAGGUAAAAUGUGACAGGAAAAUUAUUUAAUUUUGUAAUAAUGACUGACUACUUCCUUAUCAGGGCUCUUAAACCUAAUUAACAUUUUACCAAGUGAGGAAAUAAAUAAUUUUUAACUGCAGAGAUAAUGGAAAUGGAAUAGUCAGUAUCUACCACUUUCAAAAAAGAUUUUUAUCAUGUGGUCAAUAUCCUUAUGCUAUAGUUUCAGUAGUUAUUAAAAAUUAUCUAGAAGAUCUUAAAUAUGGUCUUUUUCAUGAAGAAAAAUAGCUACCUACAUAUGUUUUGGUAGUAUACAUUGUUUUCUAAUCGUGAAAUGUAAAAUCUUAGGUAAUAUUUAAAAAGUCUAAGAAUAAGUAUAUAUUUUAAGAAUCAUAACGUGUUACCUGCUUCUACUUCUGUUGAAUGCUUUUCUAAUUCCAUAGCAGUGAUAGAGGGAUGAUAAUUCUGAUGAGCUCAAAGGUAGGUAAGCUCUGCAGUGUGGGAAGUUCUGCUUAAAAUCCAUAAGAAAGAAAAAGAAAUGAGUGCAUGUCCUUAGUUUCUCGUAAUCAUUGUAUUUAUUUCAGGAGAUCUAUCUGGGCAAAGAAACUGUAGGCUUUGAAAGUCUUCUUUUUUUCUUAAGUUGAUGAUUUCUAAUGGGGCUUGAACGUACUUCCCUCUAAAACCAAAUUGUUUUUGAAACUGCAGCUUUUAUUUGACAAAGCUAUAGACCAGGUGAACCAUGUUUGUUGACUAUUAAUUUCAAGGGUGCAGUGUGCAAAGAUAGCCUGGGGCCUCUUUCAGGAGCUGUUGUGUAUAAAACAGUUAAGGAAAAUCAGUAUCUGGCCCCAGCCUUCAGUGAAAUUAAUUUACUGUCAAAGUGAAACUGGGAGGUUACGUAGCUUCAACCUUAAUAAGAAGUAUGCAGAACAACUUGUUUCAGUGGAAACUCCUUGUCUCUCAAAGCAAGGUGUGCCUCAGUCCUCAGAGUGAGUGAGAAUACUUCAGUGAGAACUCUGACUUAAGAACUUUCCUCCUGAUAAUUCUGUCUUGUUGGGCCAAAGAACAAAGGGCUGGCCUUGAUUCAGCCUCAGUGGGGGCACCAGAGCCUUUCAGAUGGAAUCUGGCAAGUACUUUUCAGGACGCUUAUGCCCUCAGAUUGUUACUAAAGGAAACAGAUGGAAAGGAAAGCAAAUAAUGGCUUACUGAAUAGGAAUGCAUUUGUUAGUUUUUAGUUUUGGUUAUAUAAUAUGGAGACUACUGCAGGUCAAAAGUCUUGUUCUGUCAUUAUUGUAGAUUAAAGGACUUGGUACUGGUUUGAUCAGUGGAUCACAGUUUGAGGUAGUCUUAGCUUCCCUGGACAGCUUUGACAACAUCUGAGACACUUUUUGGUUGUUCUAGCUGGGAUGGAGGUGCACAGUCAUCUCUAGUGGAUUAGGAGUGAUGCUAAACACUCAUGAAUGCCUAGGAAAUACCCUACAAUGAAGAAUUUUCCUACUCCAAAGAGUAGUAAGUGGUGUUGUUGAGAAACUCUAGAAAAGACUUAGAAUUCCUUAAUUUUCCUUCGUUGCCAACAACAUAGCCACUUGGACAUGAAGGAUACUGACUGUGGAAGAUGUUUGACUCAUUGUUCCACCAUAGCUUCAGAUUUACUAUCAUAACACUGCAUUUCCGUGUUAGCUUAUUUAAGUGAAGCUCAUUGUAUUAAUUUGAGAAUGUGGAUGAAUAAGCAUUUUGUGAUUAUUUUGCUCGUUAUAUGUAUGCUUGAUUUAGCAGAAAUAUAGCAAACCACCUGAUUGCGCAUGCCUGUGUGUGUGUGUGUGUGUGUGUGUGUGUGUGUGUGUGUGUGUAUACACGUACAUUCCUGGGGCUUGAAUUCAGGG
Perognathus longimembris pacificus (Pacific pocket mouse) is the source of this 2538-nucleotide long non-coding RNA. RefSeq lists it as uncharacterized. Lineage: Eukaryota; Metazoa; Chordata; Mammalia; Rodentia; Heteromyidae. The transcript is spliced from 3 exons. The record is from RefSeq and is a predicted model, not a curated record.